Long non-coding RNA from Magallana angulata, 1202 nucleotides. RefSeq lists it as uncharacterized. Lineage: Eukaryota; Metazoa; Mollusca; Bivalvia; Ostreida; Ostreidae. The transcript is spliced from 2 exons. The record is from RefSeq and is a predicted model, not a curated record.
AUAAAACAGAACUAUUUUGUGUAUGAUAUAACAGAACCAUUUUUUGUAGGAUAGUACGGGACUAUUGUGUGUAAGAUAGAACAGAACUACAAAUGUAGUUUGUGUAUCAUAAAUUAGAAAUAUAUUGUACAUCAUCGUAUGAAUAUGUUUAAGGUUACAUUUGAAGACAGUUAGUCCCACAAACAUUUGACGCCCUAAGAUAAACAAUACAGCGCAGACAAAUCCAUUUUCCUUAUGGUAAAAAAUUGACAAAUUAUGACAGAAAAAUAGAUAGAGGGAGAUCACGAUCAAUUCCUUGAGACAUUUGACCUGGACGUUUCUAAGAACUGUCAUACAAAACGACAACACAACUGUUCGAUGUUUAUUUACAACACAUUGAAAAACAACGUGGGACUUCGUGACACGCAAUUGCUGAUAGAUAAAUGGCCCCCACCGCCAAAAGCAAAUGUACUAUAUGAAGCUUAGCCAUUUCACAUCUUCGGGAAAAUUGGAGCUGGUCCUUAGAGAACGGAGAACGUCAUUAUGAUAAUUAUCGUUGACAGUCCCGUGUCUGCGCUGAAUUAUGAAAUUGACUUAAAUUCGACGUUUGGCUGGCGAUUCCAUCAUUUGGGUGCUUUCUUCUGGCAGGGAAACGAAAUCUCUGGAACUUAUAAAAAUGAUUAAGGUGGUUGUGCUCGCUCUCCUCUGCUUCACGGUCCUCCUCCAUCAGUCGCACGGGCUGGGAUUCCAGAACAUCAUCUGUAGAGACCGGUGUCGCUACAGGUUUAAGCAGUGUCUGGACUUGUGUGUCGAAAAGAAUGAUCUCGAAAAGGACUUCAGUGGUGGUUACGAGGAAUGCAUGAAUUUGUGCUCUCAGCUACUUUUGUUGCCGUGCAGCUGCCCCUAGUCAUAACGUUAAAGACGAUCUAGCCUCGGGGCUGGGCCUCGGUCAAAAGUACAUGUAUAUCAAUGGCACGUGUAUGACGCACUUUCUUUUGAAAGCAAAAAAUCCGCCUGAAACUUUGACUUUGUUUUGAAUUUAACAUCAGCUAGUAAGAAUCAUUUUGAUUUAAAAUCAUGUAAUUGAAUUUAAGCCUGUACAUUUUGAGAAUAUUGUUAAAAGUGUCAGCAGACCAUUGCUGAUAUAUUUUGCAAUAAAUGUUUCAUGUAUCUACAAUAAAGAUCUGUAAAUUAAAAAGCCUGGUUUUCACCGGACAAAUUUC